RNAcentral lists this ribosomal RNA (253 nucleotides) under uncultured bacterium. RNAcentral's name for it is "partial 16S ribosomal RNA". It matches the Rfam family "Bacterial small subunit ribosomal RNA", at positions 524 to 776 of the family's 1533-position model. The record is from RNAcentral.
UACGUAGGGCGCAAGCGUUGUCCGGAAUUAUUGGGCGUAAAGAGCUCGUAGGUGGUGUGUCGCGUCUGCCGUGAAAGCCCGGGGCUUAACCCCGAGCCUGCAGUGGAUACGGGCAGACUAGAGGUAGGUGGGGGAGAAUGGAAUUCCCGGUGUAGCGGUGAAAUGCGCAGAUAUCGGGAGGAACACCGGUGGCGAAGGCGGUUCUCUGGGCCUUACCUGACGCUGAGGAGCGAAAGCGUGGGGAGCGAACAGG